GACGAACGCUGGCGGCGUGCUUAACACAUGCAAGUCGAACGGAAAGGCCCUGCUUUUGUGGGGUGCUCGAGUGGCGAACGGGUGAGUAACACGUGAGUAACCUGCCCUUGACUUUGGGAUAACUUCAGGAAACUGGGGCUAAUACCGGAUAGGAGCUCCUGCUGCAUGGUGGGGGUUGGAAAGUUUCGGCGGUUGGGGAUGGACUCGCGGCUUAUCAGCUUGUUGGUGGGGUAGUGGCUUACCAAGGCUUUGACGGGUAGCCGGCCUGAGAGGGUGACCGGCCACAUUGGGACUGAGAUACGGCCCAGACUCCUACGGGAGGCAGCAGUGGGGAAUAUUGCACAAUGGGCGGGAGCCUGAUGCAGCAACGCCGCGUGCGGGAUGACGGCCUUCGGGUUGUAAACCGCUUCCGCCUGUGACGAAGCGUGAGUGACGGUAAUGGGUAAAGAAGCACCGGCUAACUACGUG
This 468-nucleotide ribosomal RNA is filed under the name uncultured bacterium. RNAcentral's name for it is "partial 16S ribosomal RNA". It matches the Rfam family "Bacterial small subunit ribosomal RNA", at positions 28 to 507 of the family's 1533-position model. The record is from RNAcentral.